RNAcentral lists this ribosomal RNA (63 nucleotides) under Inosperma bongardii. Its description in RNAcentral is "partial 18S ribosomal RNA". It matches the Rfam family "Eukaryotic small subunit ribosomal RNA", at positions 1769 to 1831 of the family's 1831-position model. Lineage: Eukaryota; Fungi; Basidiomycota; Agaricomycetes; Agaricales; Inocybaceae. The record is from RNAcentral.
GCAUUUAGAGUAAGUAAAAGUCGUAACUAGGUCUCCGUAGGUGAACCUGCGGAAGGAUCAUUA